UUCCAGCUGAUGACAAUUGUGGGUAGAGCGCGACUACUCACAAGGUCGGUUAAGACUAUCGAGACGAGUCUGAUAUCGCCUGAUACUUCCGUAUACUUAAGCCUAAUAAAGACAUCAGAGCUUAAAGGAAGGAGAGAGGGAGGGAGGGGAAUGUUACAACCCCAAAAUUUGGAAUAGUCUUAUAUAUAAGAUAUAAUAGAGUUAAACCUCUUAUCUCGACUAUAGCAUUUUGGACGGUCGCUAAGCCCGAAAAGAUUAAGAGGGUUAAGCAUACUAUGACUAGAAUAAUUGUAGGAUGGGUGGCCCUACUGCAAAAAGGGGUGUCACAUCAAAUCUCCGAUUCCGUAAUGUCAACUCAAAGCAUAGCUUCACAUAAUCCAUUUGUAAGGACUGAGAUUUGGCAGUAUAGCUAAACUCUCUGUUGACUAUAUUUUGUGUGUAAUUUAAUUACAAAAGCAUUCGUCAAGUUUCGAGAGAAAAUAAGUUAGAAUGGAGAUUUUACGCGAUCUUUACUUUUCACUUAAAGUGAAUAGUAACCUGGGUUUUCGGAGAGGCCAAUGAGUAGAGAUGGCUUCUUGCGCGUAUCGGACUUCGUUCAUUGCAAUUCGAUAGCACAUUUUCAAUGCUUCGACUAUUUUGGAACCAUUGGCGCUGACGGAUUUCAAGUUUGACGCACGGAUUUCAAGAAAACUGGAGAUACAUAUAUUUCUGUAUUUGUGUAUGGUUUUGCCAGUUGGAGGGAGGAUGGGUUUUGUCGCAAAUCUGUAACCAAACCAGGCGAAACAAAAUUAUCGAUUUGAUGUCUCAGCCGUGCUGAUCGUACUGGUGUAAUCCGUUUGCAAAUCUGACGGACAGAUUUCCUGAUAUCGCGCGUUGAUUGAGGAGGGGUCAUAAAUGGCGAAAUGAAGAUUUUGCGAAAAGCCCUACAUUUUAUGUACCGUUUUGCGUGAAAUCGGAUAUGGCAGUGUGUUCGCGCGUUUUACUCGCGCUGUGAGGGACUCGGUUCUAAAUAUCGAGUUUCGGUG
This 1025-nucleotide long non-coding RNA is filed under the name Ananas comosus (pineapple). Its description in RNAcentral is "long non-coding RNA (ACOM_LNC012389)". Lineage: Eukaryota; Viridiplantae; Streptophyta; Magnoliopsida; Poales; Bromeliaceae. The record is from RNAcentral.